AGGUACAGCGGGAAGCCACCUGGCGACAGGGAGCGGAACCCGAAAGCCUGUCUCAGUUCGGAUUGGAGUCUGCAACCCGACUCCAUGAAGCUGGAUUCGCUAGUAAUCGCGCAUCAGCCACGGCGCGGUGAAUACGUUCCCGGGCCUUGUACACACCGCCCGUCAAGCCAUGGAAGCCGGGGGUGCCUGAAGUGCGCUGCCGCAAGGAGCGCCCUAGGGUAAAACCGGUGACUGGGGCUAAGUCGUAACAAGGUAAC
RNAcentral lists this ribosomal RNA (257 nucleotides) under uncultured bacterium. RNAcentral describes it as "partial 16S ribosomal RNA". It matches the Rfam family "Bacterial small subunit ribosomal RNA", at positions 1235 to 1500 of the family's 1533-position model. The record is from RNAcentral.